This 29-nucleotide ribosomal RNA is filed under the name Hordeum vulgare subsp. spontaneum. Lineage: Eukaryota; Viridiplantae; Streptophyta; Magnoliopsida; Poales; Poaceae. The record is from RNAcentral.
UGAUGCGAUCAUAGCAGCACUAAAGCUAC